GGUCAUGAGACCCAGCGUCAAGCGCCGGCUUGCUGGGCGGCAACCCUCCUCGCGAUGGGGUGCCCCGGGUGAUGACCUGGCCGCACCGACCCGGUGCGUGCAAGAGCGAGGC
This 112-nucleotide non-coding RNA is filed under the name Janibacter melonis. RNAcentral describes it as "SAM-IV sequence". It matches the Rfam family "SAM (S-adenosyl methionine) riboswitch aptamer". Rfam says of the family: SAM-IV is a mRNA element that regulates gene expression via direct sensing of S-adenosylmethionine (SAM or AdoMet). SAM-IV riboswitches share conserved nucleotide positions with the previously described SAM-I riboswitches sequence analysis and molecular recognition experiments suggest that SAM-I and SAM-IV riboswitches share similar ligand binding sites, but have different scaffolds. Lineage: Bacteria; Bacillati; Actinomycetota; Actinomycetes; Micrococcales; Intrasporangiaceae. The record is from Rfam by way of RNAcentral.